AAUGGGGGAACCCAACAUCUUUAAUAGGAUGUUACGAUUGUGUGAAUACAUAGCACAUUCGAGGUAGACGCAGAGAACUGAAACAUCUAAGUACCUGCAGGAAGAGAAAGAAAAUUCGAUUCCCUGAGUAGCGGCGAGCGAAACGGGAAAAGCCCAAACCAGCAAGCUUGCUUGUUGGGGUUGUAGGACUCCAAUAUGGUAGUUCUUUCAGAUAGUCGAAUGACUUGGAAAAGUCAGUCAAAGAGGGUAAAAACCCCGUAGACGAAAUGUGGAAGACACCUAGGAGGAUCCUGAGUACGGCGGAACACGAGAAAUUCCGUCGGAAUCCGGGAGGACCAUCUCCCAAGGCUAAAUACUCCCUAGUGACCGAUAGUGAACCAGUACCGUGAGGGAAAGGUGAAAAGCACCCCGGAAGGGGAGUGAAAUAGAACCUGAAACCGUGUGCCUACAACAAGUCAAAGCCCGUUAAUGGGUGAUGGCGUGCCUUUUGUAGAAUGAACCGGCGAGUUACGAUUGCAUGCGAGGUUAAGUUGAAGAGACGGAGCCGCAGCGAAAGCGAGUCUGAAUAGGGCGUUUGAGUAUGUAGUCGUAGACCCGAAACCAUGUGAUCUACCCAUGUCCAGGUUGAAGGUGCGGUAAAACGCACUGGAGGACCGAACCCACGUACGUUGAAAAGUGCGGGGAUGAGGUGUGGGUAGCGGAGAAAUUCCAAACGAACUUGGAGAUAGCUGGUUCUCUCCGAAAUAGCUUUAGGGCUAGCCUCGGAAUU
RNAcentral lists this ribosomal RNA (769 nucleotides) under Enterococcus faecium. RNAcentral's name for it is "partial 23S ribosomal RNA". It matches the Rfam family "Bacterial large subunit ribosomal RNA", at positions 117 to 889 of the family's 2925-position model. Lineage: Bacteria; Bacillati; Bacillota; Bacilli; Lactobacillales; Enterococcaceae. The record is from RNAcentral.